Molecule: ribosomal RNA, 660 nt
Filed under: uncultured bacterium
Lineage: Bacteria
Description: bacterial SSU rRNA
Rfam family: Bacterial small subunit ribosomal RNA
Source: RNAcentral
GAGUGGCAAACGGGUGAGUAACACGUGGGUGACCUGCCUUCGAGUGGGGGAUAACGUCCCGAAAGGGACGCUAAUACCGCAUGACAUCCUGCCUUUGAAGAGGCGGAGAUCAAAGCUGAAGGCCUAGCGCUUGAAGAGGGGCCCGCGCCUGAUUAGCUAGUUGGUGGGGUAAUGGCUCACCAAGGCAACGAUCAGUAUCCGGCCUGAGAGGGCGGACGGACACACUGGGACUGAGACACGGCCCAGACUCCUACGGGAGGCAGCAGUGGGGAAUUGUUCGCAAUGGGCGCAAGCCUGACGACGCAACGCCGCGUGGAGGAUGAAGACCUUCGGGUCGUAAACUCCUUUCGAUCGAGACGAAUGGUCUCUGGGUGAAUAAUCCGGAGAAGUGACGGUACCGAGAGAAGAAGCCCCGGCUAACUCCGUGCCAGCAGCCGCGGUAAUACGGGGGGGGCAAGCGUUGUUCGGAAUUACUGGGCGUAAAGGGCUCGUAGGCGGCCAACUAAGUCAGACGUGAAAUCCCUCAGCUUAACUGGGGAACUGCGUCUGAUACUGGAUGGCUUGAGUUCGGGAGAGGGAUGCGGAAUUCCAGGUGUAGCGGUGAAAUGCGUAGAUAUCUGGAGGAACACCGGUGGCGAAGGCGGCAUCCUGGACCGACAC